This 500-nucleotide ribosomal RNA is filed under the name uncultured bacterium. RNAcentral's name for it is "partial 16S ribosomal RNA". It matches the Rfam family "Bacterial small subunit ribosomal RNA", at positions 29 to 523 of the family's 1533-position model. The record is from RNAcentral.
AUUGAACGCUGGCGGCAUGCCUUACACAUGCAAGUCGAACGGCAGCACGGGAGCAAUCCUGGUGGCGAGUGGCGAACGGGUGAGUAAUAUAUCGGAACGUGCCCAGUCGUGGGGGAUAACGCAGCGAAAGCUGUGCUAAUACCGCAUACGAUCUAAGGAUGAAAGCGGGGGAUCGCAAGACCUAGCGCGAUUGGAGCGGCCGAUAUCAGAUUAGCUAGUGGGUGGGGUAAAGGCCCACCAAGGCGACGAUCUGUAGCUGGUCUGAGAGGACGACCAGCCACACUGGAACUGAGACACGGUCCAGACUCCUACGGGAGGCAGCAGUGGGGAAUUUUGGACAACGGGCGCAAGCCUGAUCCAGCAAUGCCGCGUGCAGGAUGAAGGCCUUCGGGUUGUAAACUGCUUUUGUACGGAACGAAACGGCCCUUUCUAAUACAGGGGGCUAAUGACGGUACCGUAAGAAUAAGCACCGGCUAACUACGUGCCAGCAGCCGCCGUAA